This 256-nucleotide long non-coding RNA is filed under the name Elaeis guineensis (African oil palm). RNAcentral's name for it is "long non-coding RNA (EGUI_LNC003029)". Lineage: Eukaryota; Viridiplantae; Streptophyta; Magnoliopsida; Arecales; Arecaceae. The record is from RNAcentral.
GCUGGUUUUGUAUUCAUUGAUUUCGACUGAGGUGACUUUCGAAGAGGCCGACCUACCUUUUGUAAAUCCACCUUUUAGUGCAAGUUUCACUUUUCCUCAAUGUCAUGUCUAUUGUUGUUGUAUUUUCUCUCUCUCUUUUUUCGGUUGCAAAAUCUUAAGUCAUGAAAGUCAGAAUUUUGUGGUCAGUCAUCCUCAUCUUUGAUUUUUGAGUGCUCUUGUCUAAGGAUAGGGUGCAGCUGGUUGAGGAUGAGGACUG